RNAcentral lists this transfer RNA (61 nucleotides) under Angiostrongylus vasorum (French heartworm). RNAcentral's name for it is "tRNA-Lys". It matches the Rfam family "tRNA". Rfam says of the family: Transfer RNA (tRNA) molecules are approximately 80 nucleotides in length. Their secondary structure includes four short double-helical elements and three loops (D, anti-codon, and T loops). Further hydrogen bonds mediate the characteristic L-shaped molecular structure. tRNAs have two regions of fundamental functional importance: the anti-codon, which is responsible for specific mRNA codon recognition, and the 3' end, to which the tRNAs corresponding amino acid is attached (by aminoacyl-tRNA synthetases). tRNAs cope with the degeneracy of the genetic code in two manners: having more than one tRNA (with a specific anti-codon) for a particular amino acid; and 'wobble' base-pairing, i.e. permitting non-standard base-pairing at the 3rd anti-codon position. The record is from RNAcentral. Lineage: Eukaryota; Metazoa; Nematoda; Chromadorea; Rhabditida; Metastrongylidae.
GGGAUGUUAACUUAAGUUUAAAGUGUUAGAUUUUUAAUCUAAAGAUGUUGUUCACAUUUCG